This is a long non-coding RNA of Oncorhynchus keta (chum salmon), 353 nucleotides long. RefSeq lists it as uncharacterized. The record is from RefSeq and is a predicted model, not a curated record. The transcript is spliced from 3 exons. Lineage: Eukaryota; Metazoa; Chordata; Actinopteri; Salmoniformes; Salmonidae.
GAGAGGAACCACACACCCAGGUAACAAUAACAGAUCAGCCUGCAGAGAGAGGAACCACACACCCAGUCAACAAUAACAGAUCAGCCUGCAGAGAGAGGAACCACACAUCCAGUCAACAACAAUAGAUCAGCAUGGAGAGAGAGAGAGGAACCACACACCCAGUCAACAAUAACAGAUCAGCCUGCAGAGAGAGGAACCACACAUCCAGUCAACAACAAAUCAGCCUGCAGAGAAAGGAACCACACCCAGGCAACAACAAUAGAUCAGCCGGCAGAGAGAGGAACCACACACCCAGGCAACAAUAACAGAUCAGCCUGCAGAGAGAGGAACCACACACCCAGGCAACAAUAACA